GGCUACCUGGCGCAAUGGUAGCGCGUUUGGCUUCGAUUGCUGAGCGUACCAGAAGGCUGUAGAUUCAAGUCCUGCGGUGGUAG
Molecule: transfer RNA, 83 nt
Filed under: Collybiopsis luxurians FD-317 M1
Lineage: Eukaryota; Fungi; Basidiomycota; Agaricomycetes; Agaricales; Omphalotaceae
Description: Gymnopus luxurians FD-317 M1 tRNA
Rfam family: tRNA
About the family: Transfer RNA (tRNA) molecules are approximately 80 nucleotides in length. Their secondary structure includes four short double-helical elements and three loops (D, anti-codon, and T loops). Further hydrogen bonds mediate the characteristic L-shaped molecular structure. tRNAs have two regions of fundamental functional importance: the anti-codon, which is responsible for specific mRNA codon recognition, and the 3' end, to which the tRNAs corresponding amino acid is attached (by aminoacyl-tRNA synthetases). tRNAs cope with the degeneracy of the genetic code in two manners: having more than one tRNA (with a specific anti-codon) for a particular amino acid; and 'wobble' base-pairing, i.e. permitting non-standard base-pairing at the 3rd anti-codon position.
Source: Rfam by way of RNAcentral